RNAcentral lists this non-coding RNA (92 nucleotides) under Psychrobacillus psychrodurans. The record is from RNAcentral. Lineage: Bacteria; Bacillati; Bacillota; Bacilli; Caryophanales; Bacillaceae.
AGGAGCCGUGUGCGUAAAUAGCGCAAGCACGGUUCUGUGAGGGGAGUGGAACACAAUCUACCGUAAGGUAGAGAGGUUCCCUUCUACUCGAC